Molecule: transfer RNA, 678 nt
Filed under: Bartonella henselae
Lineage: Bacteria; Pseudomonadati; Pseudomonadota; Alphaproteobacteria; Hyphomicrobiales; Bartonellaceae
Description: partial 16S-23S ribosomal RNA intergenic spacer
Rfam family: tRNA (bases 133-206)
Source: RNAcentral
AGAUGAUGAUCCCAAGCCUUCUGGCGAUCUAGACAAAACAAGUCCACCGUGGGCUUUGAAAAACGCUUUCCUUGAUAAAAUUUAAGCGUUUUAUAAGAGGAUGCCGGGGAAGGUUUUCCGGUUUAUCCCGGAGGGCUUGUAGCUCAGUUGGUUAGAGCGCGCGCUUGAUAAGCGUGAGGUCGGAGGUUCAAGUCCUCCCAGGCCCACCAGUUUAUCCAUUACUUUCAUAAGUGCUUUUAAAAAAUAAGUACUUCUAAAAAGAUUGCUUCUAAAAAGAUUGCUUCUAAAAAGAUUGCUUCUAAAAAGCUUAUCAAAAUUGGCAGGCUUAUUGCUUUUGUGUGAGUAAUCCAAAGUUAAAGCAAAUUAAUGGCAAAAAAACAGUUCAAAUGCUAAAUACUAAGGAGUCAAAAUUCCUUGCAAAGUGAUUUUUACAGCGUCCAUUUGGUUGAUAUAAAUUCCAAAUGCUCAUAGACGUCAAUGCCUAUAUGAAACUAUCGGUUCAAUCAUAUCGCUUUGAGUUAUAUAGAUUUUGUAAUCCCUCUUUUGAUCGUUUUAAACGCUUUAUCCUGAUUUAGGGGCCGUAGCUCAGCUGGGAGAGCACCUGCUUUGCAAGCAGGGGGUCGUCGGUUCGAUCCCGUCCGGCUCCACCAUAAGGUCAUCAUCAUUGUUGUAAGAACA